GACGAACGCUGGCGGCGUGCUUAACACAUGCAAGUCGAACGGCAAGGCCCUGCUUUUGUGGGGUGCUCGAGUGGCGAACGGGUGCGUAACACGUGAGUAACCUGCCCUUGACUUUGGGAUAACUUCAGGAAACUGGGGCUAAUACCGGAUAGGAGCUCCUGCUGCAUGGUGGGGGUUGGAAAGUUUCGGCGGUUGGGGAUGGACUCGCGGCUUAUCAGCUUGUUGGUGGGGUAGUGGCUUACCAAGGCUUUGACGGGUAGCCGGCCUGAGAGGGUGACCGGCCACAUUGGUACUGAGAUACGGCCCAGUCUCCUACGUGGGGCAGCAGUGGGGAAUAUGGCACAAUGGGCGGAAGCCUGAUGCAGCAACGCCGCGUUCGUGAUGACGGCCUUCGGGGUGUAAACCGCUUUCGCCUGUUACGAAGCGUUAGUGACGGUAAUGAGUAAAGAAGCACCGGCUAACUACGUG
This 468-nucleotide ribosomal RNA is filed under the name uncultured bacterium. RNAcentral describes it as "partial 16S ribosomal RNA". It matches the Rfam family "Bacterial small subunit ribosomal RNA", at positions 28 to 507 of the family's 1533-position model. The record is from RNAcentral.